UACGUAGGGUGCGAGCGUUGUCCGGAAUUAUUGGGCGUAAAGAGCUCGUAGGCGGCCUGUCGCGUCUGCUGUGAAAUCCCGGGGCUUAACCCCGGGCGUGCAGUGGAUACGGGCUGGCUGGAGGCAGGCAGGGGAGAACGGAAUUCCCGGUGUAGCGGUGAAAUGCGCAGAUAUCGGGAGGAACACCGGUGGCGAAGGCGGUUCUCUGGGCCUGUACUGACGCUGAGGAGCGAAAGCGUGGGGAGCGAACAGG
RNAcentral lists this ribosomal RNA (253 nucleotides) under uncultured bacterium. Its description in RNAcentral is "partial 16S ribosomal RNA". It matches the Rfam family "Bacterial small subunit ribosomal RNA", at positions 524 to 776 of the family's 1533-position model. The record is from RNAcentral.